RNAcentral lists this ribosomal RNA (497 nucleotides) under uncultured bacterium. RNAcentral describes it as "partial 16S ribosomal RNA". It matches the Rfam family "Bacterial small subunit ribosomal RNA", at positions 28 to 507 of the family's 1533-position model. The record is from RNAcentral.
GAUGAACGCUGGCGGCGUGCCUAAUACAUGCAAGUCGAGCGAACGGACGAGAAGCUUGCUUCUCUGAUGUUAGCGGCGGACGGGUGAGUAACACGUGGAUAACCUACCUAUAAGACUGGGAUAACUUCGGGAAACCGGAGCUAAUACCGGAUGAUAUUUUGAACCGCAUGGUUCAAAAGUGAAAGACGGUCUUGCUGUCACUUAUAGAUGGAUCCGCGCUGCAUUAGCUAGUUGGUAAGGUAACGGCUUACCAAGGCAACGAUGCGUAGCCGAACUGAGAGGGUGGUCGGCCACACUGGAACUGAGACACGGUCCAGAGGCCUACGGGAGGGAGCAGUAGGGAAUCUUGCGCAAUGGGCGAAAGCCUGACGGAGCAGCGCCGCGUGAGGGAUGAAGGUCUUCGGAUCGGAAAACUCUGUUAUUAGGGAAGAACAUAUGUGUAAGUAACUGUGCACAUCUUGACGGUACCUAAUCAGAAAGCCACGGCUAACCACGUG